UACAGAGAGUGCAAGCGUUAAUCGGAAUUAUUGGGCGUAAAGGGUGUGCAGGUUGUUAAAAAAGUUAGAUGUGAAAUCCCUGGGCGUAACCUAGGAAUUGCAUUUAAUACUUUUUAUCUAGAGUAUUGUAGGGGGAAGUGGAAUUUCCGGUGUAGCGGUGAAAUGCGUAGAUAUAGGAAGGAACACCAGUGGCGAAGGCGACUACCUGGACUGAUACUGACACUGAGGUGCGAAAGCGUGGGGAGCAAACAGG
RNAcentral lists this ribosomal RNA (253 nucleotides) under uncultured bacterium. Its description in RNAcentral is "partial 16S ribosomal RNA". It matches the Rfam family "Bacterial small subunit ribosomal RNA", at positions 524 to 776 of the family's 1533-position model. The record is from RNAcentral.